RNAcentral lists this ribosomal RNA (542 nucleotides) under Golovinomyces cichoracearum. RNAcentral describes it as "eukaryotic LSU rRNA". The stretch from base 210 to 363 matches the Rfam family "5.8S ribosomal RNA". The record is from RNAcentral. Lineage: Eukaryota; Fungi; Ascomycota; Leotiomycetes; Helotiales; Erysiphaceae.
UACCUUGCGGAAGGAUCAUUACAGAGCGUGAGACUUGGCCCGGGCGUGUCCCGCGUGUCGAGUCGACCCUCCACCCGUGUUGACUUUAUCUGUUGCUUUGGCGGGCCAGGUGCCUGACGCCGACCGGCUUCGUGCUGGCUCGCGUCCGCCAAAGACCCAACCUAACUCGUGUUGUCGUGUAGUCUGAGGAAGGAAUAUUGAAUUGUUAAAACUUUCAACAACGGAUCUCUUGGCUCUGGCAUCGAUGAAGAACGCAGCGAAAUGCGAUAAGUAAUGUGAAUUGCAGAAUUUAGUGAAUCAUCGAAUCUUUGAACGCACAUUGCGCCCCUUGGUAUUCCGAGGGGCAUGCCUGUUCGAGCGUCGUCACACCCCUCAAGCCGCGCCGUGUGUGUGGUUUGGUGUUGGGGCUCGUCCGUCGGGCGGCCCUUAAAGACAGUGGCGGUGCCGUUGUGGUCUCUACGCGUAGUACGAUUCUCGCGACAGAGCGGCAGCGGCGGCUUGCCAAUCAAUCCUUUCUUUCUUGAAGGUGACCUCGAAUCAUU